CCUGCCGUUGCCGGCGACCGGCGCACGGGUGAGUAACACGUAUGCAACCUGCCCGUGGCAGGGGGAUAAGCGGGGGAAACCCCGUCUAAUACCGCGUAACGCGGCCUUGGGGCAUCCCAAGGCCGCCAAAGGGAGCAAUCCCGGCCACGGAUGGGCAUGCGGCGCAUUAGGCAGUAGGCGGGGUAACGGCCCACCUAACCGACGAUGCGUAGGGGUUCUGAGAGGAAGGCCCCCCACACUGGUACUGAGACACGGACCAGACUCCUACGGAAGGCAGCAG
This 280-nucleotide ribosomal RNA is filed under the name uncultured bacterium. Its description in RNAcentral is "partial 16S ribosomal RNA". It matches the Rfam family "Bacterial small subunit ribosomal RNA", at positions 74 to 354 of the family's 1533-position model. The record is from RNAcentral.